Molecule: long non-coding RNA, 1482 nt
Filed under: Cottoperca gobio
Lineage: Eukaryota; Metazoa; Chordata; Actinopteri; Perciformes; Bovichtidae
Description: lncRNA (ENSCGOG00000005122.1)
Source: RNAcentral
CGUGCAUGUGUGUUAGGUGGGGGUCUGUAUGCCUCUCGCUCUCUCUCUGUCUCUCCACGCCCCCAAUCUUUCAUCCCAGUGCACCCAUAGGUUAGAUGCAAAGGUAACAGAAAGACCGGGGGCUCUAUAAAGACCCGCUUUGUUCAUUCGAUCUCUCUGCUGCUUUUUUUUAUUUCUUCGGUCUUUCUUGUUACCAUCACCAUACAUCAAAAUGCCCAGCAAGAGGAAGAAGAACAGGCGUCGCAUGAGGAGGGUGCAGGCCCAGAGGAGAAUCCUUGAAGAGCAACAUGCGGCCAACCCAACAGUCAAAGCGGGUCCCGGGAUUGCAGUCUGUGCGCCCCCUGCAGCGAUCCCAAAGAAAGCGGCUAAAGCUCAUGCACCCGCUCCAGCUCCAGUUAAGAUCCCCAUGGUCGUUCCCAUUGCAGUCCCAAUUGUUGAGAUCCCCAUAAAAGAACCAGAACCAGUUGUCGAAGAACCUGUCGCCAAGCCCGUCCCAGUCGAGGUAGUGGCACCAGAGCCUGAGGCUGUGGUGUUGGAACUGGCACCAGUAGAAGUUGAGGUUGAAGUCCCAGUCGAGGUAGUGGCACCAGAGCCUGAGGCUGUGGUGUUGGAACAGGCACCAGUAGAAGUUGAGGUUGAAGUCCCAGUCGAGGUAGCGGCACCAGAGCCUGAGGCUGUGGUGUUGGAACAGGCACCAGUAGAAGUUGAGGUUGAAGUCCCAGUCGAGGUAGUGGCACCAGAGCCUGAGGCUGUGGUGUUGGAACAGGCACCAGUAGAAGUUGAGGUUGAAGUACCAGCCCCGGUCCCUGAAGAAGCACCAGUCAUUGAGACUCCACCAGAGGAGCCCGCUAUAGUUGAGGCUGCAGUUGUACAAGAGGCUGAACCUAUCAUUCCUGAAACAGAACCAGUAACAGAGGUCAUACCUCCAGCUGAGGCUCCAGUAGAAGCCCUCGUUGAGACUGAGAUUCAGACAGAGGAGACUACAACCGUAACAACAGAGACUGAACUGGAUGUUCCUGCCCAAUCUGUGGAAAUCCCAGAGGUGCCAGCCACCGUCCCUGAGGUAGAAGAGGCUGUAACUGAAGUCAAAGAGGACACUGCUGACAGCCUGGUUGAUGACUUUGUUGUCACAGAAUCUGUCUCAGACGUGGAGGUCGCCAUUGCUGAGUCUGCUGCUGUCCAGCCGGAAAUUGUGGAAGUGAGUGACACCCCUUCAGAAUCUGUGGAUGCGACGCCCGUUGCUGCACCUGCAGAGGAAAUGGUCAUUGACGCCACUGCUGAGCAGACAUGCUUGGAUAUUCUGUCAGAGCUGAAGCCAGAAAUGUGUGACAUGCCCUGUCAGAUGCAGCGUGCUGUGGAGUCUGUGCAGCUCAACUCAAUGGAGAUGUCAGUGGAGGCAAAGCUGAAUGGACACAUUGUUCCAGAGCUCGCCAUUGAGGGCUAGAUCCACUUCACACAGCUUGGAAGACCUUCUUUGUCUUU